GCAGUGAGCUUUGGUUGUGCCACUGCCCUCCACACUCCAGAGUGACAGAGCAAGACUUUAUCUAAAAAACAAAAACAACCACCACCACCACAACAACAGAAUGUUAUGAUAGAACCUUCAUUUUAUGCCAAUAUUUUUACAGGAUAUACAUUCUAGAUUAACAUAACAUUAUUUUCAGCCAUUAAAAUACCUUGUGCCACUUCUGUCUGGUCUGCAUGAUUUCUAAUGAGCAAUCCACUGUCAUUUAAUUUAUUUUCUCCUGGGCAUGAAGUGUCAUUUCUAUCUUGUUGCUUUCAAGAUUUUUGGCAUAAAUUUCUUCGGGUUUAUCUUCAUUUGGGUUUGCCCAGAUUCUUGAAUUUUUACGUUUAAGUCUUUGUCCAAAUUUG
RNAcentral lists this long non-coding RNA (386 nucleotides) under Homo sapiens (human). RNAcentral's name for it is "non-protein coding lnc-HLA-DRA-4:1". Lineage: Eukaryota; Metazoa; Chordata; Mammalia; Primates; Hominidae. The record is from RNAcentral.